This 264-nucleotide ribosomal RNA is filed under the name uncultured bacterium. RNAcentral describes it as "partial 23S ribosomal RNA". It matches the Rfam family "Bacterial large subunit ribosomal RNA", at positions 1761 to 2022 of the family's 2925-position model. The record is from RNAcentral.
GGGGAAGCGGUGAUGGCCGCAGAGACCAGGGGAAAGCGACUGUUUACUAAAAACACAGGUCCGUGCGAAGUUGUAAGACGAUGUAUACGGACUGACUCCUGCCCGGUGCUGGAAGGUUAAGAGGACCGGUUAGACUUAAUUGUCGAAGCUGAGAAUUUAAGCCCCAGUAAACGGCGGUGGUAACUAUAACCAUCCUAAGGUAGCGAAAUUCCUUGUCGGGUAAGUUCCGACCUGCACGGUCGACGCGGCCAUCACCGCUUCCCC